UGGUGGGUUGCCUUGUUCAGGUUGAUUCCGGUAACGAACGAGACCUCAGCCUGCUAAAUAGUCUCAGUUGCUUUUUGCAGCUGGCUGACUUCUUAGAGGGACUAUUGGCGUUUAGUCAAUGGAAGUAUGAGGCAAUAACA
Molecule: ribosomal RNA, 140 nt
Filed under: uncultured eukaryote
Lineage: Eukaryota
Description: partial 18S ribosomal RNA
Rfam family: Eukaryotic small subunit ribosomal RNA
Source: RNAcentral